Molecule: transfer RNA, 73 nt
Filed under: Camelus bactrianus (Bactrian camel)
Lineage: Eukaryota; Metazoa; Chordata; Mammalia; Artiodactyla; Camelidae
Also listed under: 2 other names
Rfam family: tRNA
About the family: Transfer RNA (tRNA) molecules are approximately 80 nucleotides in length. Their secondary structure includes four short double-helical elements and three loops (D, anti-codon, and T loops).
Source: Rfam by way of RNAcentral
GAGGGUAUAGCUCAGUGGCAGAGCGCGUGUUUAGCAUGCACGACGUACUAGGUUCAAUUCCCCAGUACCUCCA